Gasterosteus aculeatus aculeatus (three-spined stickleback) is the source of this 853-nucleotide long non-coding RNA. NCBI's taxonomy places the organism in Eukaryota, Metazoa, Chordata, Actinopteri, Perciformes, Gasterosteidae. The record is from Ensembl.
GUUUACGCAGACAGCUGCGUGAGACGUGACGGGAUCCGCUCUGCGCUGUCUGACCUGGAGAGGUGGCGUGAACACCGACGUGGCGACUGCGCUGCAGCCGAGAUCAUCUCGCUUCUUCUCAAAUGGGCGGCGGCGGGUUGAUCCUCCCGUCCGUCCGUCCUUUUCCAGAUGCGAGCGGCGCUUUCUGCCCAGUGCAAAACGUGACGGGAGACGCGUCGAUUGCAAAGUGUGACGCGACAACCGGAAUGUAAAAAGAUCCGAUUGAACCUCCUCUGCAGACACACCUCAAGCUCCUCGGCGACGGGCUCAUUCGUCCCCAUUACGGAGGCGAUCCCGAAGAAAGUGAACCGGGACCAGAUGCCGUUGUUACAAUGCGAGUUCAUUUGCAGGUUUAACAAGUCACAUUGUGUAAAGCAACAAUAAGACAAUGGCUCUUUGGCAAACGGGGCGAGCGUGCCGGGUCGGCUCGCUGGAGGGCUUCCACUCAUUGUCACCCGCCGGGAAGAUUUGAUCACAGAAACGUGUCCCGGUUUCUGCCUGGUGGUCACCGAGCUUCCGUGUUGUAAAUAAGCAGGACAUUUUUUACCCGACGGCUUCCUGUCGUGGGAGGCGGGUCUUUGGUUUUCACUCCAGAGUCCAGAGCGACUCGACUCCCUGCCAACCCUCUUUGUGCGGGACGCACUUCUCAGAAGGUUACGCAAUGAGGAAAGAGCUCCACGAGACGCGCGAGUGGAGGGGGGAGAAAAAACAGAGAAGAGAAGACUGAUUCUGGUGAAUUCCUCUGGAGCCGGAGUGGAGGUAUUUCUGCGUAAACCUCCUGAACGCCGCUGUGUGCCGCGGCGGUUGCGUGGUG